Long non-coding RNA from Zalophus californianus (California sea lion), 411 nucleotides. RefSeq lists it as uncharacterized. NCBI's taxonomy places the organism in Eukaryota, Metazoa, Chordata, Mammalia, Carnivora, Otariidae. The transcript is spliced from 3 exons. The record is from RefSeq and is a predicted model, not a curated record.
CCAGCAACAGCCAGAUCAUUUAAGAGCAAUGCCCCAGGAGACGGGGUAACAUUACCUCCGGGGUUCGUUUUAGUUCAAAUCUCAAUGGCUCCUUGCAGAGCACACGCGCAAAAAAAGCACAAGAAAAUGGGGAGGGGGAAGGUCAUCGCCUCCUGACAAGCAAGGAAGACAAACACUGCGGCAGGAAGAAAACAGGGACCGAGUUGCAGGGAGACAGCAGAGAAGAAUCCGAGAGCGCGGGUUCGGGGCGGAGAGGACCGGCUCGGAGGGGGCAGCGGCAGUUCCCCAAGGGAAGGAGCUUCUCAGAUAGAAAAAUAAACAUCUCCACGAAGUUGGAUACCCAUUGGAUUACUGAAAAAUAUCCUCAAGAAACGGACUGGUGCAAGUCCAGCAGGGCUGAAGAAGUCAAAU